GAUGAACGCUAGCGGCAGGCCUAACACAUGCAAGUCGAGGGGUAACAGAAAAGCUUGCUUUUGCUGACGACCGGCGCACGGGUGCGUAACGCGUAUGCAACCUACCUCAUACUGGAGGAUAGCCCCUGGAAACGGGGAUUAAUACUCCAUAGUAUCACAAUUUCGCAUGUUAUUGUGAUUAAAGUUUUUCGGUAUGAGAUGGGCAUGCGUCCCAUUAGCUUGUUGGUGAGGUAACGGCUCACCAAGGCAACGAUGGGUAGGGGGCCUGAGAGGGUGGUCCCCCACACUGGUACUGAGACACGGACCAGACUCCUACGGGAGGCAGCAGUGAGGAAUAUUGGUCAAUGGAGGAAACUCUGAACCAGCCAUGCCGCGUGAAGGAUGACGGCCCUAUGGGUUGUAAACUUCUUUUAUAGAGGAAGAAACUUGUCUACGUGUAGACAACUGACGGUACUCUACGAAUAAGGAUCGGCUAACUCCGUGCCAGCAGCCGCGGUAAUACGGAGGAUCCAAGCGUUAUCCGGAUUCAUUGGGUUUAAAGGGUCCGUAGGCGGAUUUUUAAGUCAGUGGUGAAAGCCGACAGCUCAACUGUCGAACUGCCAUUGAUACUGGAAAUCUUGAGUACAAAUGAAGUAGGCGGAAUGAGUCAUGUAGCGGUGAAAUGCAUAGAUAUGACUCAGAACACCGAUUGCGAAGGCAGCUUACUAACAUGUAACUGACGCUGAGGGACGAAAGCGUGGGGAGCGAACAGGAUUAGAUACCCUGGUAGUCCACGCCGUAAACGAUCAUCACUCGCUGUUGGCGAUAUACUGUCAGCGGCCAAGCGAAAGUAUUAAGUGAUGCACCUGGGGAGUACGCGGGCAACGGUG
This 869-nucleotide ribosomal RNA is filed under the name uncultured marine bacterium. RNAcentral describes it as "bacterial SSU rRNA". It matches the Rfam family "Bacterial small subunit ribosomal RNA", at positions 28 to 896 of the family's 1533-position model. The record is from RNAcentral.